This 430-nucleotide ribosomal RNA is filed under the name uncultured bacterium. RNAcentral describes it as "partial 16S ribosomal RNA". It matches the Rfam family "Bacterial small subunit ribosomal RNA", at positions 354 to 796 of the family's 1533-position model. The record is from RNAcentral.
GUGGGGAAUAUUGCACAAUGGGUGAAAGCCUGAUGCAGCAACGCCGCGUGAGGGACGACGGCCUUCGGGUUGUAAACCUCUUUUAGUAGGGAAGAAGCGAAAGUGACGGUACCUGCAGAAAAAGCACCGGCUAACUACGUGCCAGCAGCCGCGGUAAUACGUAGGGUGCAAGCGUUAUCCGGAAUUAUUGGGCGUAAAGAGCUCGUAGGCGGUCUGUCGCGUCUGCUGUGAAAACUGGAGGCUCAACCUCCAGCCUGCAGUGGGUACGGGCAGACUAGAGUGCGGUAGGGGAGAUUGGAAUUCCUGGUGUAGCGGUGGAAUGCGCAGAUAUCAGGAGGAACACCGAUGGCGAAGGUAGAUCUCUGGGCCGUAACUGACGCUGAGGAGCGAAAGCGUGGGGAGCGAACAGGAUUAGAAACCCGUGUAGUCC